RNAcentral lists this ribosomal RNA (232 nucleotides) under uncultured bacterium. RNAcentral describes it as "partial 16S ribosomal RNA". It matches the Rfam family "Bacterial small subunit ribosomal RNA", at positions 99 to 334 of the family's 1533-position model. The record is from RNAcentral.
CGGACGGGUGAGUAAUGUCUGGGAAACUGCCCGAUAGAGGGGGAUAACUACUGGAAACGGUAGCUAAUACCGCAUAACGUCGCAAGACCAAAGAGGGGGACCUUCGGGCCUCUUGCCAUCGGAUGUGCCCAGAUGGGAUUAGCUAGUAGGUGGGGUAACGGCUCACCUAGGCGACGAUCCCUAGCUGGUCUGAGAGGAUGACCAGCCACACUGGAACUGAGACACGGUCCAG